Molecule: ribosomal RNA, 691 nt
Filed under: uncultured Nitrososphaerota archaeon
Lineage: Archaea; Thermoproteati; Nitrososphaerota
Description: bacterial SSU rRNA
Rfam family: Archaeal small subunit ribosomal RNA
Source: RNAcentral
AGCAAUACGUGGCAUACGGCUCAGUAACACGUAGUCAACAUGCCCAGGGGACGUGGAUAACCUCGGGAAACUGAGGAUAAACCGCGAUAGGUCAUAAUAUCUGGAAUGAUUUCUGGCUUAAAUCUAUAUGGCCCCUGGAUUGGACUGCGGCCGAUCAGGCUGUUGGUGAGGUAAUGGCCCACCAAACCUAAAACCGGUACGGGCUCUGAGAGGAGAAGCCCGGAGAUGGGCACUGAGACAAGGGCCCAGGCCCUAUGGGGCGCAGCAGGCGCGAAAACUCUGCAAUAAGCGAAAGCUUGACAGGGUUAUUCUGAGUGAUUUCCGCUAAGGAAAUCUUUUGGCACCUCUAAAAAUGGUGCAGAAUAAGGGGUGGGCAAGCCUGGUGUCAGCCGCCGCGGUAAUACCAGCACCCCGAGUGGUCGGGACGAUUAUUGGGCCUAAAGCAUCCGUAGCCGGUUCUACAAGUCUUCCGUUAAAUCCACCUGCUUAACAGAUGGGCUGCGGAGGAUACUAUGGAGCUAGGAGGCGGGAGAGGCAAGCGGUACUUAGUGGGUAGGGGUAAAAUCCGUUGAUCCAUUGAAGACCACCAGUGGCGAAGGCGGCUUGCCAGAACGCACUCGACGGUGAGGGAUGAAAGCUGGGGGAGCAAACCGGAUUAGAUACCCGGGUAGUCCCAGCUGUAAACGAUGCA